ACUAUUUUGGCAGAAUACUUGAUGCGUUAGAAUUAGAAUCUAAUAAUAUGAUAAUAUAAAUAUAUCAUAAAUAGUA
RNAcentral lists this transfer RNA (76 nucleotides) under Ceratomantis saussurii. RNAcentral describes it as "tRNA-Leu". Lineage: Eukaryota; Metazoa; Arthropoda; Insecta; Mantodea; Hymenopodidae. The record is from RNAcentral.